GCCGGGCGCAGUGGCGCGUGCCCCUAAUCCCAGCUACCCGGGGGGCUGAGCAGGAGGAUCGCUGGAGUCCAGGAGUUCUGGGCUGUAGUGCGCAAUGCCCUUGUCCGUACUUAAGUUCCGCAUCAAUAUGGUGACCUCCCGGAAGGGGGGGACCAUCAGGUUGCCUAAGAAGGGGUGAACUGGCCCAGGUGGAAAACGGAGCAGGUCAAAACUCCCGUGCUGGGAACCAGCAGUUAGCGUAAUGGCUAUGUCGCUGGACUCCCACGUAGUCGACCGCGGCUCGG
This 284-nucleotide signal recognition particle RNA is filed under the name Tupaia belangeri chinensis (Chinese tree shrew). RNAcentral's name for it is "Tupaia chinensis (Chinese tree shrew) Metazoan signal recognition particle RNA". It matches the Rfam family "Metazoan signal recognition particle RNA". Rfam says of the family: The signal recognition particle (SRP) is a universally conserved ribonucleoprotein. It is involved in the co-translational targeting of proteins to membranes. The record is from Rfam by way of RNAcentral. Lineage: Eukaryota; Metazoa; Chordata; Mammalia; Scandentia; Tupaiidae.